AGAGCGAACGCUGGCGGCAGGCCUAAUACAUGCAAGUCGAACGGAUCCUUCGGGAUUAGUGGCGGACGGGUGAGUAACACGUGGGAACGUGCCCUUUGGUUCGGAACAACUCAGGGAAACUUGAGCUAAUACCGAAUGUGCCCUUCGGGGGAAAGAUUUAUCGCCAUUGGAGCGGCCCGCGUCUGAUUAGCUAGUUGGUAGGGUAAAGGCCUACCAAGGCUACGAUCAGUAGCUGGUCUGAGAGGAUGAUCAGCCACACUGGGACUGAGACACGGCCCAGACUCCUACGGGAGGCAGCAGUAGGGAAUCUUGCGCAAUGGGCGAAAGCCUGACGCAGCCAUGCCGCGUGGGGGAUGAAGGCCUUCGGGUUGUAAACCCCUUUCAGCAGGGACGAAGCGCAAGUGACGGUACCUGCAGAAGAAGCGCCGGCUAACUACGCGCCAGCAGCCGC
RNAcentral lists this ribosomal RNA (451 nucleotides) under uncultured bacterium. RNAcentral's name for it is "SSU rRNA". It matches the Rfam family "Bacterial small subunit ribosomal RNA", at positions 26 to 518 of the family's 1533-position model. The record is from RNAcentral.